UGAACAGAUAAUGGUAUUUUCGAGUAUAAUUACAGACAUAUUAAGCCACAACAUAGAUAUAUACAUAUACAAUAAAGUAGCAACAAUAUUAGUUGGACCACAAUGCAGCCAUUAAUGAUUCUGUUUAGCCACACGUUACAUUAAGCGUCUGUGAUUCAUGCCUGCCAAAACAUUAUCGUUGGCAGUUCAAAAUAUAACUGAUCCAAAAGCAGCAUACACACAUGGUUCAUUAGACAUCCGAACAGACUAUUAGCGAGUAUUGCUUGCACACAAAAGCACAGAGUUCGUUUGUCUAGCGGCAAUAUUAGCAGAAGACAAGUGUUAUUCUUGUUGGACAGAAAAAUGACAUGUCCCUUCAUUUCCAACGAUAGACCUGCGCAGGAAGUUAGAAUCUUUUAAUGGUAUAAAUCCAAUUAUUCUAUUUUGAAAUGUCAGAACAAUGCUAGGUGGGCUAUAGUGUUAUCAUUUCUUAAUUAUAGUGUUAUCAUUUCUUAAUUUUGGUAGCAGCAAGGCACAAAAUAACAACUGAAUAUCUACAAGUAAUAUAAACAGAUUUAGGCUGCAACAACCAUGGCAAGGAGUUCUUCACUCAACAAGCAAGCAAAUUUUCAAGAUUCAGACCACCAUAUAAUAUAUGUUAAUAUGAAAACUACGUGCAUAUUAUUUGCAAAUCGAAAGUUGAAACAUGAAUGUGAUCCAAAAUGUUUAAAUAAAAAACUAAAAAAAAUGAAAAUCUGAAAUCUGGAAAAUGGGCAUCAAAUUUCAGCUUAUAAGCUGAAAAUCUAAAAACAUGAUGUGAUCCAAACUGACGAUCUAAGUUUUUAGAUUUGAACAGGAUUCCUAGCCUGUUGUAUGAAUCACAUUCAGUUUUCAGCAUGUCUUGGAUGAAAUGAAAUGUAUGUGCUAACUGAAAAUAUGAAAAAGUAUGGACUUAAUGUUAUCCAAACGAAAAACUGAAAACUAAAAUGUAUGGACUGGAUACUGGAAACUGUAUUUGAUCAAAGCAGAGUACGGACAUGAACUGAAACAAUGAUGUCCGAGCUGUUUGUAGGGAUAUUUGUUCAGCUAUUUCUGCUUGGUGUGUUAUCCAAGUAGUAAACGAAGUAUGAUUGAUCGGCUAUAAUCUUGUAACAAAGACGUGCUACUACUUUAACACCCCAUAAUUUAUAAUUGCUUAUUAACACAGAAUAAACACCCACGCCUAAUAAUGAAGUAGGAACAUGUAUAUAUUAGAUGACUAACAAUAAUGAAGUAAAAUUAGAAGUACUCGUAGGUCAAAACAUUAAACACCCACUACCAUACCUCCAUAUUAUUGGUCCAUGGGAUGAUCGCUCUCGGCAUCACAUGCCAGUGUUGCCAGAGUAAGUGCUCGGUGUUCUAUUAGUAAACUGAUGGUCCAGAAUAGAAGAGAAAGUUGUUCGGUGCUGAUUGGUUUCGCUUAGCUUUCCGCAAAGAAGUUUUUAAGUCCCUACAGUCACUUGUGUAUAUGAUAUGCACAGUUUAGCUACCCUCGGUGGCUCUGUUAACAAUCGAUUUUAUAUGCUGGAUAUGCCUAGUAGUUACUCAUGUGAGAUUCUUGCAGUGACCGCCAUAAUACCUGAAGAAGCAUGACUGAUCUUUGUGGCAUAGAAUUUUAUAGUAAAGCACACGCUUCUUGCAUUCGUUGUGAAACAAAAGGAUUCAUGCAUGUUCAUCUCGUGACGCUUUUUCCCUCCGGUACCAAACAAAAGGAUUCAUGCAUGUUCAUCAUGUGAUUGAAAAUACACCGAUUCUUGUUACAUAUAGUGCAUAUGUUUCAGAUCGUAAGCAUCGCGGCACUUGGCUGAAUACGUCAUACGUGAACAUGACCAGAGACCAGACUACCCGUAUAAAGUUCUUCAACGAAUCGACGCAAAACUAUAUGUCAGAAUAAAUUGUGUAUCCAGAAAAAGAAAAACUGGUCAUACACCAUGUUGCGAAAGAACUGCCCGUAGUAAAAACUAUGUAUCUAGGG
RNAcentral lists this long non-coding RNA (1993 nucleotides) under Zea mays. RNAcentral describes it as "long non-coding RNA (ZMAY_LNC004343)". The record is from RNAcentral. Lineage: Eukaryota; Viridiplantae; Streptophyta; Magnoliopsida; Poales; Poaceae.